UGCGGGUCGUUUUUUGGGGACGCACUGUGUUGGACUUUCUUCCUGUUUCUGUGGACUUCCUUGCUCUUCCAUCAUCCAAUUUUCCAUCUCUACAAGACUUUGAUCACGAUCACUCUAAUUCCGAGAGCUAAAACUGCGAUCUAGAACAACAAUUAGACGCUGGGAGAAUCAAGAAUGGAGAACGCUGACGUCUUCCUGGGUUUGCACGACUUCCUUGAGCGCAUGCGCCAACCAUCAGCCGCCGAUUUCGUCAAAUCCAUCAAGAGCUUCAUUGUCUCUUUUUCAAACAAUGCUCCUGAUCCAGAGAAGGAC
RNAcentral lists this unclassified non-coding RNA (312 nucleotides) under Hevea brasiliensis (rubber tree). Lineage: Eukaryota; Viridiplantae; Streptophyta; Magnoliopsida; Malpighiales; Euphorbiaceae. The record is from RNAcentral.